CUAUGCAUCAUCCUCAUGGUGCUUGGAUGAACUCGCAAAGAUUUUAGAGUGCAAGGAAUAGAAUGAAUAAAUUGUUAUGCCGCUGUUUUACAAGGUAGAUUCUUCGGAAGUACGACAUCAAAUAAAGAGUGUUGAAAAAACAUUGGCCAAACUUGAAGAAAGGUUUCAGGAUCAAAGGAAGGUUUAGAGCGGGAAGAACGCCCUAAAACAAUUGAGCAAGACAAACUACAAAUCAAGGCAUGAACAAAUACCAUUGGGGGAGAGAGAGAGAGAAUGGAAUGCAGUCAGAUAAUGAUCCACCACAAGCAAAUCCAAAACUAGAAAUGACGUAAAGAAGCAGGGGAGGGAAAAGAAAGAAGUUUACAGUGCUGAAGAGGUUGGAAAGGCAGGAGGGGCAGAAGUUGGCGUAGGCAAAGCUGCACCCGUCACGCUUUAUUGCAGAAAUAAGGUUCGAGCCUUCCUUCAAUUAAUUGACGAAAGCUCACAAAGCCACAGAUGAACAUCUCUCUCAUCUCAAUGGAGGGCUCGAACUCAUCAUUAAUUGGGCUGCAAAUGAAGCAGAUUUUGACGCUUUGUAGCUUUUUCCAGCAUAAAAGCGGUACUGUAAAUGCCUCGUUGUUCCAGCUCCGAACUUUCUUUUGCUUCUGAAACCUUUCUUAAGUUUGGCCAAUAC
This 673-nucleotide long non-coding RNA is filed under the name Betula platyphylla (Asian white birch). The record is from RNAcentral. Lineage: Eukaryota; Viridiplantae; Streptophyta; Magnoliopsida; Fagales; Betulaceae.